Molecule: transfer RNA, 63 nt
Filed under: Atrecus affinis
Lineage: Eukaryota; Metazoa; Arthropoda; Insecta; Coleoptera; Staphylinidae
Description: tRNA-Pro
Source: RNAcentral
CAGAGAAUAGUUUAUAAAAAUAUUAAUUUUGGAGAUUAAUGAUAAGAGUUAUCUUUUCUCUGA